This is a non-coding RNA of Paramuricea clavata, 117 nucleotides long. Lineage: Eukaryota; Metazoa; Cnidaria; Anthozoa; Malacalcyonacea; Plexauridae. The record is from the annotation of a GenBank genome assembly.
GCUCAUUAUACAUGCAGAUUCCGAUGUUUACGUCCUUGUAUUUUCAUACAGUAUAAUAUACUGUAUGAAAAUACAAUGACGUAAACAGCGGAAUCUGCAUGUAUAUAAAUAAUGAGC